AAGUCGUAACAAGGUUUCCGUAGGUGAACCUGCGGAAGGAUCAUUAUCGAGUUAGGGUCUUCAUGGCCUGACCUCCAACCCUGUGUUUAUCAUACCACGUUGCUUCGGCGGGUCCGUCUUUCAUCGGACCGCCGGGGGUCGCGAGACUUCCUGGCCCGCGCCCGCCGAUGACCCCAAUAUCAAACUAACUGCUGAUAACCUAAUCGUUAGUUCUCGAGUUUCUUAAAUUUAAAUAAAAACAAAA
RNAcentral lists this unclassified non-coding RNA (244 nucleotides) under plant metagenome. RNAcentral's name for it is "partial contains small subunit ribosomal RNA and internal transcribed spacer 1". The stretch from base 1 to 46 matches the Rfam family "Eukaryotic small subunit ribosomal RNA", at positions 1786 to 1831 of the family's 1831-position model. The record is from RNAcentral.